Molecule: long non-coding RNA, 295 nt
Filed under: Elaeis guineensis (African oil palm)
Lineage: Eukaryota; Viridiplantae; Streptophyta; Magnoliopsida; Arecales; Arecaceae
Description: long non-coding RNA (EGUI_LNC008746)
Source: RNAcentral
AAUAAUGGCUAGUGCAACAACAAAUACCACCACCACAAGGAUGUGGAGAGCAAUAGGAUCAACAAAGUAAUAUUGUAAAAUUUAAGAAGUUAUCUUAUCGGCUUUCAAGGAGACUAUUGGACUUUUGGAAGUCGGCAAUUGGAUUAUGGAGAUCAAGAAGAUGUUUGCCAUCCAGGAGUAUCGCGAUAAUGAAAAAAUUCAUUAUGUAACUUAUUUGUUAUGAGGUGAAGCGUUUAAUUGGUGAUAGAGAUGGGAAUGAAAAUAUGAACAAGAUGGGGAGCAACUCAUUUGGGAG